Molecule: non-coding RNA, 866 nt
Organism: Oryzias latipes (Japanese medaka)
Lineage: Eukaryota; Metazoa; Chordata; Actinopteri; Beloniformes; Adrianichthyidae
Source: RefSeq, a predicted model, not a curated record
GACCAGCAGAACCUCCAGGACCAGCAGAACCUGCAGAACCUGCAGGACCUGUGACUGAUGACUUUUGCUUCACCAAUAAGAUGUUCUUUUCCCUUUUAUCAGAAGCAGAAAAUAUUUGCAUUCAUCCUUUAUAAACGGUUUUGUGGCAUAAAAUAUAAACUUUCUUUGGGGGUCACAAACCUCCAGCAGAGUCUGGACCUGAAACCAAGUCCUAGUCCCAGACCUGAGUGUCUGACCGUGGAGGACCUCGGUCCACAGAGGAGUUUGAGUCCUGAACAGUUCAGCAACUGAUCUGAGGAUCCAAAGAGCCUUCAAGGCGGUUCUGACAGGGGAGCAGCUGGGAUCAUGGUACCACAGAACAAACUGGAGGUUCUGGUGUCUUCACUGGGGGGCUGCGUUUCCAGCCUGAUAACAGAACCUUUGGUUAUUCCUGCACAGGUUCUCCAUCUAACAGUUCCCGUCCUCCUGCAUCCACAUCAGCUUCCCCCGCUGCCAUCCUCCCUCCCUCCUCUAGACCAGAGUUUCCAGACCCGGGUCCUCGGGGAACCUGUCCUGCCUUAGAUGGCUGCAGAGUGGAACUUCUAAGGAGGUUUUUCAGUCCUUCUCCUGAUCAAAAGCAUCAACGGUGAAUCGAUCCGGAACGAGGAUCGUCUACAGCAUCCGAAGAUCCAGGAGAGCAGCAGGCAGCUCCAUCAUCCGAACCACAUGACCUGUGAUGGCGUCAAGGUCAGAACCAAACGCCCAGAUGUGAAAACGUUUGACCUCGGUCAGAGGCUAGCCAAGACCAACUUUAGCUUCAGGAUCAGUUUUUAUUUUUGAACUUUUCGGGAGAAAUUUUGAGUAAUAAAAUAUUCCUGUCCUCCUCC